UUCAUUGCGAUUGGUUGGACUAG
RNAcentral lists this microRNA (23 nucleotides) under Panagrellus redivivus. RNAcentral's name for it is "prd-miR-7899-3p". The record is from miRBase by way of RNAcentral. Lineage: Eukaryota; Metazoa; Nematoda; Chromadorea; Rhabditida; Panagrolaimidae.